Molecule: transfer RNA, 74 nt
Filed under: Danio rerio (zebrafish)
Lineage: Eukaryota; Metazoa; Chordata; Actinopteri; Cypriniformes; Danionidae
Rfam family: tRNA
About the family: Transfer RNA (tRNA) molecules are approximately 80 nucleotides in length.
Source: Rfam by way of RNAcentral
GUCUUUGUUGCGCAAUCGGUAAGCGCGUUCGGCUGUUAACUGAAAGGUUGGUGGUUCAAGCCCACCCAGGAACG